This 433-nucleotide ribosomal RNA is filed under the name uncultured bacterium. RNAcentral describes it as "partial 16S ribosomal RNA". It matches the Rfam family "Bacterial small subunit ribosomal RNA", at positions 29 to 507 of the family's 1533-position model. The record is from RNAcentral.
AACGAACGCUGGCGGCAUGCCUAACACAUGCAAGUCGAACGAACCCUUCGGGGUUAGUGGCGCACGGGUGCGUAACGCGUGGUAAUCUGCCCUUUGCUUCGGAAUAACUCAGGGAAACUUGUGCUAAUACCGGAUGAUGUCUUCGGACCAAAGAUUUAUCGGCAAGGGAUGAGCCCGCGUAGGAUUAGGUAGUUGGUUGGGUAAAGGCCUACCAAGCCGACGAUCCUUAGCUGGUCUGAGAGGAUGAUCAGCCACACUGGGAAUGAGACACGGCCCAGACUACGACGGGAGGCGGCAGUGGGGAAUAUUGGAAAAGGGGCGCAAGCAUGAUCCAGCAAUGACGGGUGAGAGAUGAAGGCCAUCGGGUAGUAAAGCUCUUUUACAAGGGAUGAUAAUGACAGUAACUGGAGAAUAAGCUCCGGCUAACUACGUG